AAUGAACGCUGGCGGCAGGCCUAACACAUGCAAGUCGAACGAGGUAGCAAUACCUAGUGGCGGACGGGUGAGUAACGCGUGGGAACGUGCCCUUUGGUUCGGAAUAGCCCGGGAAACUGGGAGUAAUACCGGAUAAGCUCGCAAGAGGAAAGAUUUAUCGCCAAAGGAUCGGCCCGCGUUGGAUUAGGUAGUUGGUGGGGUAAUGGCCUACCAAGCCGACGAUCCAUAGCUGGUUUGAGAGGAUGAUCAGCCACACUGGGACUGAGACACGGCCCAGACUCCUACGGGAGGCAGCAGUGGGGAAUCUUAGACAAUGGGGGAAACCCUGAUCUAGCCAUGCCGCGUGAUCGAUGAAGGCCUUAGGGUUGUAAAGAUCUUUCAGUUG
RNAcentral lists this ribosomal RNA (385 nucleotides) under uncultured bacterium. RNAcentral describes it as "bacterial SSU rRNA". It matches the Rfam family "Bacterial small subunit ribosomal RNA", at positions 29 to 442 of the family's 1533-position model. The record is from RNAcentral.